UAUUAGUCGCGACACUUGAAGAUUGAGAAAAAUAUAUUUUAAACAAAUGUUUGUCCUUAUUUCUGUCGGACCCAUAAUAACAUCAUACGAUUUGAACCGCUUGUUAGUGUAUAACCUCAAUUUCAGCCAACUAGAACAUAAUUAAAAAAAAUAGGUAUCAUCAAAAUACCCACCAAACUACUCUUGCAAAAUAUAAAUUUUCUUAGAUACAAAUCGUGAUAGAACUUCGAAAAAAAAGUUCAAUCUUCUGAACCUGGAGAACCUGAUUUCAGCUAGAGAGACAGUGUCUACUACUAAAUUGUUUAAAAGGAUCAGAGUUACAGUGGUCAAAAAGAUUCGUAAUCCAUCCGCUGUGUGGCGCAAAUUCAAAGACUUUGAUAUCGAAAGAUCGAUAACUGUAGAACUGUUCUUUGAACACAAAGCUAAGAAGCACUUUCUAUCCCAGUUGGGCGCACUGUCAACAAUAAGAACCAAUAUACGAGACACCGGCUUGCAUUCGUGGUCAGCAUGCACUAGCAUCUACUCUGUGACA
Molecule: long non-coding RNA, 532 nt
Organism: Aedes aegypti (yellow fever mosquito)
Lineage: Eukaryota; Metazoa; Arthropoda; Insecta; Diptera; Culicidae
Exons: 2
Source: RefSeq, a predicted model, not a curated record